CAUGCAAGUCGAACGGUAAUAUGGCUUCGGCCAUAUGAGAGUGGCGAACGGGUGAGUAACACGUAGGUGAUCUGCCCUUGAGUUGGGGAUAGCCCAUGGAAACAUGGGGUAAUACCGAAUACGGUCAUGGGACUGUGGUUCUGUGAAGAAAAGCGCUUCGGCGCUGCUCGAGGAUGAGCCUGCGGCUGAUUAGCUAGUUGGUGGGGUAAGAGCCUACCAAGGCGACGAUCAGUAGCCGGCCUGAGAGGGUGAUCGGCCACACUGGGACUGAGAUACGGCCCAGACUCCUACGGGAGGUAGCAGCUAAGAAUCUUCCGCAAUGGACGAAAGUCUGACGGAGCGACGCCGCGUGGGUGAUGAAGGCCGGAAGGUUGUAAAGCCCUUUUCUGACUGAGGAAUAAGCUCAGGAGGCAAUGCCUGAGUGAUGACGGUAAGUCAGGAAUAAGCCCCGGCCAAUUACGUGCCAGCAGCCGCGGUAACACGUAUGGGGCGAGCGUUGUUCGGAAUCAUUGGGCGUAAAGGGCGCGCAGGCGGUUAUGCAAGCCUGGUGUGAAAGACCGCAGCUCAACUGCGGGAGCGCGCUGGGAACUGUAUGACUGGAGUUCAAGAGGGGAAGCUGGAAUUCCUGGUGUAGGGGUGAAAUCUGUAGAUAUCAGGAAGAACAUCAGUGGCGAAGGCGAGCUUCUGGCUAUGAACUGACGCUGAGGCGCGAAAGCGUGGGGAGCAAACAGGAUUAGAUACCCUGGUAGUCCACGCCGUAAACGAUGUGCACUAGGUG
This 778-nucleotide ribosomal RNA is filed under the name uncultured bacterium. RNAcentral's name for it is "bacterial SSU rRNA". It matches the Rfam family "Bacterial small subunit ribosomal RNA", at positions 54 to 822 of the family's 1533-position model. The record is from RNAcentral.